AUGAUCCCAGACAUCACCACCUUGACUUUCUUUGUACUCUGGGCUGCAGGUGUUUCUCAGUCUGUGUUGAUCACUCAGUGGCCCCGCUACAUCUCCAGGCUUCCCAAUGGCUCGGCAGAAAUGCACUGCUAUCAGAAUGACACUGAUUAUGAAUAUCUGUACUGGUACAGACAGCUGAGAGGAAAAGAUAUUCAGUUAGUGGUUUAUUUAGUAGCUGGUUCUGCAACCUUUGAAGAAGAAUUCAAAUCUGGUUUUCAGGCAGUGACACUGACGGAGAAGCAGUGGUCUCUGACAAUAUCCAGCGUUCAGGAGAAAGAUGAGGCUGUUUAUCUGUGCGCUGCAAGUCUACACAGUGCUGUGGAAGACCUCAGGUCUGUGACAAAAACAUACAACCCAGAAGCUGUUUAUUGUUCUGACACCUGA
Non-coding RNA from Seriola dumerili (greater amberjack), 423 nucleotides. Lineage: Eukaryota; Metazoa; Chordata; Actinopteri; Carangiformes; Carangidae. The record is from the annotation of a RefSeq genome assembly.